Molecule: long non-coding RNA, 1325 nt
Filed under: Heterocephalus glaber (naked mole-rat)
Lineage: Eukaryota; Metazoa; Chordata; Mammalia; Rodentia; Bathyergidae
Description: lncRNA (ENSHGLG00000034499.1)
Source: RNAcentral
CUCCCACUGGUACAGCUGGCCCAUGAACUCCUGGGAGUCGAAGGCUGCACACUGCAGGGCCCGGGGGUCUGGCUGCUCAGGGGGGCAGGGCUGGGGGGGGGGAAGCAGAGCAGUCAGUGCUGGGGAGGAAGUUGGAUUUGGAGGCGGGAGGAGAGGGUCAGCUCUGGGGUCCAGGGCUGACAAACGAGGACCCAGACAGCCUUGGGGAGCCCAGCAGAGAACUCACCACCUGGCUGCAGGCUCGGAGCUGCUCUCUCUCCCCAGCACAUCUUGGGACAGGGUCUCUGGGGGCAAAGAGGCUCCAGAGGGAGCCGGGCUGGGGCCCACCCCACAGCAGGGACAGCCAGCCGUCUAGAUGGUGACUGGCAGGCUCUGAGAAGGACACGCGAGGACUCCCCCCAGGCCACCAGUGCCCCCGGCUCUGCUGACCGAGGCCCCAAGGGUCAGAAGGCAAAGGAUCGGGCGCCUGCCUGCUACCUGGGGCCUGGCUAGACGCUGGGAGUUAGGCUUUCUCGGCUGAGGGGACGCAAGGAAGGAGCCACUUUCUCUGGAGGAGGAGGUUCGAGAGGGGGGCCCCGCGCCAGAGGCCUGGGCUCCCAGGUGGGGCUGUGUGGGGACAGGACUGGUUCUGGGGGGCACCCCUGUCUGAGCAGUUUGGGGCCUGGUAGGCUCUGCGGGGGGCCAUGAGGUGUGGGCAGCGGGCUCUGCAGGGAGGAGCUGAGUUUGGGGGCUGAGCAGCUCUGCUCCCGGGGUCAGGGAGGGAAGGGGCCUGUCUGGGGCUCUGACCGUGGGGAUGGGGGGCUUCUGGGUGUCGUGGGGGCCUGAGAGGCAGGGCCAGGCCCGGGGGGAGUCGACAAGUCCGGCUUCUGCGCUGCACCCCCACCCCGCAGGGCUGGGAGCAAGGGCCCCACUGGUCCCAAGGUCCCCAGACACCAUCAGGGACCCAGCCCUCCUCUGGGGUUGUCUGAAGAGCGUGUCCAGACAAGACCUACAGGGAGAGAAAGGGCAGACAGAAAUAGAGCCAUGGGAGGGGAAGGUGCUCAGCAGCCUCCUGGCCCAGGGCUCUGGCCCAGAGCCACACUCCCGAGCCCAGCCCAGCCAAGCGGAACUAGAAAUCGGCUGUCUGCGAUUUCUCAGGGGUUAGGGGCUGCCGGGAGGGCAGGAGGGCCGGAGGGCCGAGCGUGUGGAUGGGGACAAGGAGACAGGGCCGGAGAGGAGGGUGUGGGGUCGGGAAGCUGAAGGGACCCAGGUGGGCGCAGGCUGUUCACCUGCCCCAGGCUCACCUCCUGGUCCAGGCAGAGCUGAGGCAGAGACAGAAGCAGCGC